UACGGAGGGAGCGAACGUUGUUCGGAUUUACUGGGCGUAAAGGGCGUGUAGGCGGCUCUGUAAGUCAGGGGUGAAAUGUCCCGGCUCAACCGGGAACCUGCCCUUGAAACUGCGGAGCUUGAGGUCGUGAGAGGAGACUGGAAUUCCUAGUGUAGCGGUGAAAUGCAUAGAUAUUAGGAAGAACACCAGUGGCGAAGGCGAGUCUCUGGCACGAAUCUGACGCUGAGGCGCGAAAGCUAGGGGAGCAAACGGG
RNAcentral lists this ribosomal RNA (253 nucleotides) under uncultured bacterium. RNAcentral's name for it is "partial 16S ribosomal RNA". It matches the Rfam family "Bacterial small subunit ribosomal RNA", at positions 524 to 776 of the family's 1533-position model. The record is from RNAcentral.